Molecule: long non-coding RNA, 709 nt
Organism: Aethalodelphis obliquidens (Pacific white-sided dolphin)
Lineage: Eukaryota; Metazoa; Chordata; Mammalia; Artiodactyla; Delphinidae
Exons: 4
Source: RefSeq, a predicted model, not a curated record
CGUCCCCGCCCCCAGCCCGGUUUUCCCCCGUCUUUUGGAUUUCUAGAACCGUCAGAUUUUCAAAAGGAAACAACAAACCCGAAAUCUUUUCAACUUUUUAUUUCGCCUAAUACGGAGCUAUAUUACUUCAUGCAGAACACACAGACCAAGUUCAUCUAUCCGUGCAAGGGCAAGUGAACUCCACAGCCCGCGCCAGACCUUUAUAAGUACGGGGCGGGGCCUGGGGACUGAGGACUAACUGCGUGUCCGGAGUUUCAUAAUCGCCUCCGGGGGAGGAGUGGCCGGAGGACUGUCCGGAUGUCAUCCUCCCUCUCUGAACACCUGCGAGUGGCUGAGGAAUGAAACAAUGCUCUUCGGGCACAAAGUAUAUUUGAAGAUAGGACAGUUUGGGAAGAAAAUAAUCAAGUCAUAGAGAAUUUUCCAACUAGGAAGUGACUUAAAGACAUCAACCAGAUCAGCAAUUCCCAAUCUGAGAGGUUUGGGGAUCUUCUUUGUCAAAUGAUGAGACUAAGGCAAAAUAGUAAGGAAUUUGUUCAAGGCCCUUCAGCUCAUAAACAACAGAGACGGGAUUCAAACCAGGCAACCUGACUCCAGGUGGUACCAGACUCUUUCACCAUCACACUGUAUUGCUUUGACCCAUAGCAACACCUGGUUCACUGAAAGUGCAGUGCUUGUUAUAUGUGCGACGCUCUCAGAUAUUUUCAUUAAA